Long non-coding RNA from Homo sapiens (human), 2206 nucleotides. Ensembl annotates it as long intergenic non-protein coding RNA 1020. The record is from Ensembl. Lineage: Eukaryota; Metazoa; Chordata; Mammalia; Primates; Hominidae.
AGAAUACUGUGCUGAGGCCCCAAAACAGAAAGGAAAGCUCACCACCAGAAUGUGCCUUUUCCUUAUCAAAAAGAAUUGCUGCCCCUUACAGGACAGGAGGACUCCAAUUGUGACCAAGUUGGAGCAGCCUUGAGCCACAACUCAGACUUAUUUUCAUUCUCUGCUCAUUGGCCAUUAGGAACCCGAUCCUUAUGGUAUGUUCACACUGUCUCCAGGCUGGGCACAGUGGCUCACACUUGUAAUCCCAGCACUCUGGAGGCCAAGGUGGGUGGACGGCUUGAACUCAGAGUUUGAGACCACCGUGAGCAACAUGACAAAACGCUAUCUCUACAAACAAUAUAAAAAUUAGCCUGGUGUGGUGGUGCACGCCUGUGGUCCCAGCUACUAGGGGCUGAUGUGGGAGGAUUGCUUGAGCCUGGAAAGUGGAGGUUGCAGUGAGCUGAGAUUGCACCACUGCACUCCAGCCUGGGUGACACAAGGAGACGCUGUCUCAACCUGCAGUGACCUGCUGCUACCAGAACUGACUCGCUUCAAAGUGACGGAUGAAACCCAUAUGGAGAUAUUCCUGGGGUGGGUAGGCCAGUUGGAAGACAGAGUGUUUACACCUGAGAGAGGACUUGAGAAUUUUACUCAGUCACGUUGCUCACUGCUGCGCACUCCUGCAGACGCAUCCCAGUGGACUCUGCGCUGCAUCCCCAGAGUACAGCGAGUUUCCCGCCUCCCGUUAGAGAUCCAACACAUAUUUUUUUUGAAAGAAGAAACUGAUGGAAGACAGGAAGCAAAAAGGAGAGGAAGGAAAGGGAUAGGAAGGAGGGGAAGGAAAGGGAAAGGAAGGAAAAGAAAGGAAAGUGAACUUGAAAUCCUACAAGGUCUCAAAGUCAAAAAACAUGAUUGCUGUUUUAGAGAAUUGAAGAUCCUUCAUCUUCAAGAAUCUGAAAUCUACCAUGAUCUUCACAUGUAGCCAAACACAAUGGGAUGUAGUCAUUUAAGAGUGCUGUGAAGGCAGUGUAUGUGUACACAGAAGCCCAAAAGGCUAAAAUUGGGUGGAGAAGGAGAGAAAGUUGGGUAAAAAAUGAAGUCAUCAUAGUUGGGUGGACAGAUACUUGAUCAGUGGGCCAGACACACCACCACAUGACCACGGCAAAGCGGCAGACAUCACUCCAUCCUUGGUCCCACAUUUUAAGAGAGAAAUAGCAAUAACUGUUCCAAUUUUAUCUCCUGCAUAUUUGUUAAGGGAUAAUCUACAAAACAGGCACAUCGACUUGGAGGUCGUAGAUGAAAGCUAACUGACUAUAGAGCACUAAAUUUUUAAAUUCCAACCCAAAGACAAAUAGACUUCAUAUUUUACAUUACUCUGAUGUGGAAUGAGAAAAGAGCUCUAGUGACAUUUCAAUUUAUCAUAGCUAAUCAUAUGAACAUUAUUAUAUAAAUGGGGAUUCUAAAGCACUAGGUUUUAAAAAGCCUUAAAGGAUAAUUUUAAAAUACCCUCAAAAAUGUAUAAAGCCAUGCACGGAAAUCCUUAUGUCUCCCAAUUUCUUGCUGAAGUGUCAAAACCAAUGCAACAUGAAAAGAAAUUAUCGAAUUUGUAAAAUAUAAAGAGGGUGUAGUUAUGUGCCUGAAACGUGGAGCAGCUUUGGCAGAAGACUGAGCAGUCACAACCUACUCGCUAUUGGGAAGCCUCUGUAGAAAGAGGGGCAGUGCCUCUCAGCCCCCGAAUUUCCAGGGCCCAUGAGAAGGUCUUGGAUCCAGGUGUCUGAGGACCAAAGAUGAGCUGAGUGAGCAGAAAUUCUUCUUGGUCAUGUUCACCCAGGUUUGGGGGAGGGUACACUCAAUGCAUCACCAAAGGAGUGCUGUCAAUUGUUAAUGUCUUCAUCAAUGAAUGAAAAGCAGUUGAAAUACCAUUAGUUAACAGAUUGCCCAAUGAAGUCGAUGACAACUGUGAUAACAAGUUACUCACUAUCACAGCGUCUCCAAGAGAUGAACAGUGGAUGAUGCUUCCAAAGCACAGAUGUCCCUCUCCUCCUCAACCUUCUCUCCCCAGAAAGAUGUCAACACUGUGGAGAUUGUGCUAUGAAGAUACCUGGUGUGGCAUUGCAAUAGAUGAAAUAUUAAGGGCAAUUCAACAAUUUUCUGAACAAAUACAUGGAUUUAACUUGAAGUUGAAUUUAAUUUGACUUCAAGAAAAAUUAUAUUUCUGGUCCUCCUA